ACACUGCCUUGUGCACACGAGGGACCUCCCUCCACCUCUGCUCAGGCUCAGGAGAGCCUGAUGUGGUGAAUCUCCACGUCCUGUCUGGACCCUGCCAUGGGCACUAGGCUCCUCUACUGUGCAGCCCUCUGUCUUCUGGGGGCAGGUCACACAGGAGCUGGCGUUAUCCAGUCCCCCAGGUCCAAGGUCACAAGGAGGGGCUGGGACGUGACCUUCAGAUGUGAUCCAAUUUCUGGUCACACUGCCCUUUAUUGGUACCAACAGGCCAUAGGGCAAGGCCCUGAGGUUUUAACUUACUUCCAAGGCAAGGACAAAGUAGAAAUGACAGGGAUGCCCAAGAAUGAUCGGUUCCACGUGAACAGGUCGGAGGGGACCUACUCCACUCUGCAAAUCCAGCGAGCAGAGCCGGGGGACUCGGCUGUGUACCUCUGUGCCAGCAGCCCUACCACAGCCAUAGGGCAAGGCCCAGAGUUUUUAAUUUACUUCCAAGACGAGAACAAACUAGACACGACAGGGAUGCCCAAGAAUGAUCGGUUCCACGCGAACAGGUCAGAGGGGACUUACUCCACUCUGCAGAUCCAGCGAGCGGAGCCGGGGGACUCGGCUGUGUACCUCUGUGCCAGCAGCCCUACCACAGUGGGGCACAGCUGCCGCCUUCCUCUGCACCAACCUCAGGCUUCUCUCUCCCUGCUGCACUCGGGGACCCUAAACAGCUGUCCGUGCUCUUCGUUUCCCAAUAAAAAGGAGUAG
Suricata suricatta (meerkat) is the source of this 750-nucleotide non-coding RNA. NCBI's taxonomy places the organism in Eukaryota, Metazoa, Chordata, Mammalia, Carnivora, Herpestidae. The record is from the annotation of a RefSeq genome assembly.